This 348-nucleotide long non-coding RNA is filed under the name Drosophila melanogaster (fruit fly). RNAcentral's name for it is "long non-coding RNA:CR42765 (Dmel_CR42765)". Lineage: Eukaryota; Metazoa; Arthropoda; Insecta; Diptera; Drosophilidae. The record is from RNAcentral.
AUUUUCCAGCUUCCAAUUGAAUCGCAUGUGCGCAAUGUCCGGGAAAUUGGCUAAGGGAGGAACAAGCGAAGCAGUCGCUAGGUCGUCGGAGCAUGACAAGGAUUAGCGUGGAGGGGAUGACGCCCAGGACUACAAGGACUACGAGGACAGGGAUGUGACGACGACGACGACGACGACGGCGACGAUGAUGAUGAUUGUGAUGAUGAUAUUGUACUGCUGUUGCUGGUGACAAUCAGUGAAAAAGAGAGAAAGAUGCAGAGCAGCCUAGUUGCACAGAGAACAAAGGCCACAAAUAAUAUAUAACUCAUCAAUAAAAUGACUAAAAUAAAAUGACAAAAAUGCCCAAUG